Molecule: ribosomal RNA, 305 nt
Filed under: uncultured bacterium
Lineage: Bacteria
Description: bacterial SSU rRNA
Rfam family: Bacterial small subunit ribosomal RNA
Source: RNAcentral
UUGUGCCUACGGGAGGCAGCAGUGGGGGAUAUUGCACAAUGGGGGGAACCCUGAUGCAGCGACGCCGCGUGGGUGAAGAAGCGCCUCGGCGCGUAAAGCCCUGUCAGCAGGGAAGAAAAUGACGGUACCUGAAGAAGAAGCCCCGGCUAACUACGUGCCAGCAGCCGCGGUAAUACGUAGGGGGCAAGCGUUAUCCGGAUUUAUUGGGUUUAAAGGGUGCGUAGGCGGACUGUCAAGUCAGCGGUAAAAUUGAGAGGCUCAACCUCUUCCCGCCGUUGAAACUGGUGGGCUUGAGUGGAUGAGAA